AAGUCGUAACAAGGUAACCGUAGGUGAACCUGCGGUUGGAUCAUUAACAAAAAUAUAAUCAAUAUAAAAAGAAAAAAGAUUUUCUUUAAGGGAAAACUCUUUUUUCUUUUUUGUUUGAGACCCAUUAUGUGAACCGUUUUUAUAUAACACUUGGGAAUAUAUUAUAUAUUCCCAGGUAACCAAAAAUUAAACCUUUUUCUAUUAUUAAAUUGCCUUAAUGAAAACCUAAAGAAUAAAUUGUAAAAAACAACUUUUGACAACGGAUCUCUAGGCUCUC
RNAcentral lists this unclassified non-coding RNA (277 nucleotides) under fungal sp. RNAcentral describes it as "partial internal transcribed spacer region". The stretch from base 1 to 46 matches the Rfam family "Eukaryotic small subunit ribosomal RNA", at positions 1786 to 1831 of the family's 1831-position model. Lineage: Eukaryota; Fungi. The record is from RNAcentral.